AGGAAAACCAGGGAGCUUUUUACCCAAAGAAGGGAAAGUGGAUGCUCUGCAAACAAAAAAUCUAUGGACAUCCAUGACACCAGUAAUGCUCAAUAUACUUUAGCUGCUUGACCAAAAGUUAAAGAACUUUGGGGGUCAUUGAAGCUCCAGAAUCAUGCCUUUAAGAUAGUGAUUCUUUAUCUUAAAACUCUUUCCCCCCCUGAGCACCAAUCUCAGAGGUUCUGAUUCAGUUGAUCUGGGGUGGGGUCUGCCCAGCACAGGGUGUUAAGUGCACCCAGGAGAAUGUAAUAUAUGGGGCUGAAAACCACUGCUUUAAGCUAAUGCACAUGCUUGGCUGGUGCCCACAAAGCUCUUAACUAUAGCACCACAUCCUUUAAGACCCAAGGAAUGAUGAGGAAGUCGUGAUUUUAUGAGAAGCUUCAAUGCAGAAUUUGAAAAUCUCUCCUAUGUUAUUCCUUCCAAUGUCCCAUGUGUUAAAACAGGACUCUGGUGGUAGCUUAAAAAAAAUGCAGGAUAGAACAGAGCCUGGAGGUGUGUAUAUGUCUGUGUGUGUGUGUCUGUGUGUCCUUGCCCCUUGUGAUUAUACAAAAUCUUGCUUUGGGUGGUUAAAUCAGCAGCACAAAUGACUCAGGAACUUAACUAGUGCUGAGUCAUGGGCCUCCUUGGUAUUUCAGCUUUCUUCACUCCUGCCCCAGUUUGUGUUGUCCACACACAUCAGAUGAAAGGUUGUGAGUACUUAAUGUCACCAGUGACAGACAGCUGGAUAUCAUCUGCCUCCAGAAACAAUAUCCUGAGGAUACAAUUCUCUCUGCUCUGCAUUCCAGCCGAGAGCGUUUAACCUCUUUCUCAUCGUGAGGAAACAUUAGACAAACACAAACCGAGGAACAUUCUGUUAUUGUGGGGCAGGGGACACAGGAAGGAUUUUGGCCUUCAAAAAUUCUCAUAUCACGAAAGACAAAGAAAAGCUCUGGAAACGCUCCAGGUCAAAGAAGGCUAAAAAGACACGACAGUGAAAUGCAAAGACUGUCCCUCGGCAGGGCCCUGGAGGGAGGAAGUCAAAAAGAACAGCAGACGGCUAACUGAUGACAUGGGAGUAUGGAUGAGAAUGAAAGAGUCGCAUCAGCACAAAGGUCCACCUGUGGCAAGGCGUCUUGGUUGAGUCAGGACCUUGGUGCUCCUACAUCAUCACCAUGGGCUGGAGCGGCUCCAAGGAAGUUUGUUCAUGAAUCUGAACAAUCUCACUCUGCAGGGAAGAGGAGGCUGAGGCUGGGAGGACUUUGCUGGGGAAAUUCAGUGUAUUAACUGGAGUUUUACAAGGCCCCUGGUCCAGGGAGAAGUGUUGUUUCUACUGCAUAUCAGCAAACAACCAACCAGAGGAUAAUGCAAAUGAGUAAGAAGCAUGUUGCAUGGGAACACAAGGACUCUAACCAUCAUCACCAAUGGCCCCAAAUCAUCAUAAGAGCAUUAACUAAGAUUCACUAAGUGCCUACUCUGUGCUGGGCUCUGGUCUGUGUCUUUGACCUGCAUGGGAUCCACAGAUCCUCUCAAAAAAAAAAAAAAAAUCAUAUGGAAUAGAAGCUGUUAUCAUCCUUUCAGCUAUGGAAACGAGGUCUAGAAGCAAUAACAAGCCUCAGCUUACAUACUUUAUAAGAAGCAGGAGUUCAAACUCGGGAGUCUCACAACACCAAAUCUUAGCCACUGUUCUCCUGGCCUGUCAAUCAACCCAGCGUCAGGCAAACUGGCCUUUGAUUGUCACUGAGUUGAUGAUGCUAAUUAUCGUACCUUCCUUUCUGGGGCUUUGAGCGUUUCUAUUUUGAGAGAACCUUCACAGUCCUCUGACAAAAUUUUCCACUUUUCAAAACCAGGUGUUUUCGUGUCAAGUCCUGAGUGAUGGAAAGAUUUCUCGUCACAGCUGUGAGAACGUAACCAGUAGAGAGCCACCAAGGAUACGAACGGGGCUGCAGAGUAGAUUGCUAUCAGCUCGGGGUCAGAGCCCCACGUGCACCUUCCCCGGGCCACGUGGUGCUGGGGAGGAGGGCGUCUCCCCGAGCAGGUGCUUCCCUUCAGUCACUGCCCACCCCCCACACGGAGAGGAGGGGAGGCUUAUCCGGCAGGUAAAUUUGGGAAGAACUGAGCUGUGCCCUGCUCCUUGUACCCUUCCUUGUUGGGGGGGCAGAGGAGGGGGCUGUUCUCUGCUCCUGGAUUGGAAUUGGAAGAUUCACUUUACUCUGGGGUCAGUGUUGGGAAGCCCAGGGGCCCACAGAUAGUGAGACUGACCAGCAAUAAAGGUGGCGUUUUGGCUCCCAUCUGCGCCACAGACUGGAUGUGUGUCCUUCCCCUGCUUACAUGCACAUGUUGAAACCUAACCCCCGAUGAGACGGUAUUAGGAGAUGGGGCCUUUGAGAGGUGCUUAGGUCAUAAGGUGGAGCCUGCACGAGUGGACACAGUGCUAGGACUGCUAGGACACAGACGUCAGCAGCUGCGAAGAGGCCUGGCCUGGCCGUGCUGCACCCUCAUCUCUGCCUUUCAGCCUCCAGAAUGGUGAGAAAGACACUUCCUUUGCUUAUCAGUCACCCAGUCUAGGGUUUUUGUUACAGCAGCCCAGAUGGACUAAGACCACCUGCUCAAUCGUUUGUUUCUCAGAUGAAUAAGAACUCUCUGCCAGGGAAGAGACCUUCCCCAAAACCCCUCACGGGGGACGCUGGUUUUAGUGAUGUCUGCUUUCUAAGUGAGAGCCAUGAUUCAGGAUUGGAGAUGGUGUUUCUUCUCAGUUCUUCGUCCCACAUUUACUUGCUUGGCAUCUGCUCUGUGCCUGGCACUGCACCGGGCACCCUUUAGAUAAGGAUGAGCCCUGAAAAGUGGGAGCAGACGGCUUAAUGGAGCCUCGUUGUGACUCACCCCAGUGGGAAGGUUGAGGCACCUGCCUCGGGGGAAUCCACAGCCAAGAUAAAGCAUCACCCACCAGGCGUGGGGAUGGUCGAGCGUCACCAGAAUGAUGCAGGGUGGAAGGCACACGCCACAGCUCCCUCACUCUAGAAGGAUGUUUUUGAGAAGUCUACCUGCUCCCCAGAGGCAUGGGGCAGCCUAGUUCUCUCUUCCCCUCUUUUCUUUCUUCGCUCUCAAUUCCCCAUCUGUGAGUCACUCGGUAUCAGUCCACUAAACUCUUCUCAGCCCAUGUCAGCAGGAACCAGCUGGCUUUGUGGGGGAAAAUACCAACCCAGCUGUCUGCACAAGGAUGGUAAGAAUUAGAACCUUGGGUCCCAUACCUCCAGCUCACAUCUGGAGAAACUGAAGGGGAGACUUUGAAAUUUGGGGUCAAGGAAGCCUUGUAGCUUUUUGAUUAACAGCACGAGUUCUUGAGUCACCUGGCCUGGAAGAAAAAGCCCGCCUCGGCCGUUUAGUUACUGAUUGAUUUCGACCCAUCACUUCACUCGCCAAGCUUCAGCUCCUCCUCUCUGACUAUAGGACAAGAUCAGUACCACGCUCCUAAGGCCAGCGAUGCUGCAAAAUGCAUAAUAACCUUUGGUUGUUAUUUUAGUGAUGAUUCUUCUAGAUUUCUCCUGAGAAGUCAUGCAAAACAGGAAUGUGAAUUGCAAAAAAGAUGCUGAGCAGGAAGGCACCAAAGAAAGCCUUUCUCCAAAGGGGAUGUUUAUUUCAGAGGCACACAGGGGGAAGCUCCACCAGCUGUUUUCCAGGAAAUCAUCCACUUCACCCAGGGUGGGGAUAUGGACAAGACAGAGUCCCGACCUCCCUGGGAAACUGGUGUGAGGAAGUCCAGUCAGCAACACAACUGAGAGAGACCCCGCCGUGCCCAGUAGUGCCAGGCAUAGUGAAGUUAAGGUGAUGGGGAGGGGUGACCAUUGGAGGUGAAGGGACCUGAGAGUGGAGACCAGGACAGGGGAUGGGAAAGCCAAGUCCCUGAGGAAGGGAUGAGCUUAAUAAGUUUGAGGAACAGAAAAAAGGUGACUCCAGAAGGCUUGCCCACAGCUGGGUCUUACAAGGGAUGGAAGCCCUUAGACCUCAAGGAGGGAUCGUGUGGCCUCCUGAUUUCCGUUUUUAUAGGCAGCUUUGGAGGAUGGAUUAGCAGGAGAGGGAGGCGAGCGCUGGAGUAGGAAACCCAACUGGCAGCCGGUCCACCGCUGUCCAGCAAAUCUGGUGUUGACUCGGAAGGUCAGUGGAGACGGAGGGAGUUGAGAGAUGUGGGAUCUGCUUUGGAGGCAGAGACAACAGAAUGGGAGAAAGGAAUCCAGGAUGACGCCGACGUCUUGGGGAGGCGCUGCUGAGGAGUGUGAGUGAGGUCCCGCCUGACCCCAGCUAGUGGGCUGCUGCCUUCUUCUGGCUUCCGUGAGUCAAAGGGACAUGAAAACCACAACAUGAGGUUUAACUGCGAAGCCCCGCUCCCCGCCCAUCCCCUUCGCCUCUUGAGUUUCAUUUUACUGGUCCCGUCCCAACAGAUGGCUCUUCUUAAAGCAGCAUCGCCAGUGUGUAUGCAAUGACAGGAGAGCCAAUUUUAUUCUCUCCUGGAAAUUAAUUUCUCUUCCAUUUCUCUCUUCCCCUCCACCCCUCUCUCUGUUCCUGUGAUGAUUUCUUUCGGAAAUAGUUCCCCUUGCACGCGAUCUCCACAAACCUCUGAAUCCCCGCAGAUGGAGCAAGGCUGCUCUUGUGAGGGAACGGAGGGCAGGAGGCAUGUCCUGGGCUCUGCGGUUUUGCUCCUGAAGGAGGAGGACAUGGGGACAGCUCUAGGACUAAGGGUUCAUCUUUUCAUCUAUGUUUACUUCUCAGGAGACCCCAGCCCCAUGGUCUUAAAUUUUUCAUUGAAGUAUAGUUGGUUUACAAUGUUCCUUCAGUUUCUACUGUACAGCAAAGUGACCCAGCCACACACACACACACACACACACAUACACAUACAUUGUUUUUUUUUUUUUUCUUCAUACUAGCUACUAUGUUUUUUGCCUCCUUGGCUCUGCACAUGUGUUCUCUACAUAAUAUUAAACAGUAACCUUUGUGUCUCCCACAUUCUGGGGUGCUCCAGACACACAUACCACAUUUUUCAACCACGCACACAUGCACGCACAAGAGUGGAACCCGUACUGGCUGACCCAGGGCAAAAUCAAACAACUUUUAACUGCUACCUUUUUUAACACCUUAAUUGAGACAUAAUUUACGUGCCAUAAAAUUCACCCAUUUUAAGUGUGUGAUUCAAUGGCUUUUUAAGUUUACUGAGUUGUAUCCUGGCUGUUUUCUUUCUUGCAAACGGAGCCACUGGAUGAACACUCUCACCCCCUGAGCUCCCUCCCCACUUGGAAAUGUGACAGUUAAAGAGCAGGUUCUGUUUCACCCCCCCCCCCAAGUAGUUUUUAUUCAUUCUGCCAUUUACAACUUACUUCCUGUGUUUUGAUUCUGAGCUGCUCAGGCCUACUUCUUAGAAGCCAAGUGGAUUAGUUUUUACACUGUCAAGAAGUUUCUCUUGUGUCAGAGGAGUUUUCUGGGUUUUUUGUUUGUUUUGUUAAUCUUCAGAUCUUUGCUUCAUCUGCUGAGGUAAUGACAGAGAGACCUGAAAAUGUUAUCUUUGUGAUAUGAAAGACUAUACAGAAAUAUUUGGUAUUUGGAGCUCAACUAAAAGGUUCAUAGCAUUCUGACUGUUGGGAUUGGUGGAAGAAAAAAAAAGAUAUUUAGACUAUAAAUAGGGCAUGGAGGCCUAGAACUUUUUCCUAAUAUUAAAAUCUGCAUAUAUAGAUUUCAGUUUUGACAUCUGUUUUCUCAUUUGAAAAACAGACAUGAAAAUAACCACUUUAGGAGAUUUGCCUGAGGAUCACAUGAUUCAUGUGAAAACAGCUAGAAUGCUAAUGAUUUUUUAAAUCUAUAAAUGUUCAUGGAACACCAAUCUUGAGGAACUUCACUAAUGGAAUAAGAAUACUGUUUUGGCCACGGUAUGUUAAUAAAAGCGAAGGGCCUGCUACUGGAGAGUAUGUACCAGUUUAGCCAAUCGCUCACUAAGGAGGUAAUGAGGCUUGCUGUGUGCCAGGCCCCAGGGACUGAGUGGUGGACAGGCAGGCAGAGUCAGGUGGCAGACAGGUGUCUAACGUAGAGCUGAGCAAAGAAGUACGUACGAACUGUGCAAGUGCUGGGGAAGAAACUAUUCUGGGGUAUGUGUGUGUGUUUGAAGCAAUUUAAGAGAAUGCAUUUUUUGCUAGUAAAUGUAUAUACCUAUAGGCCGAGAAAAAUUUCCUGGAACAAUUCACGAGGAAUUGGUGACGAGGGUUUCUUUUUGUGACAGGAACCAGAAAGGGAGAGAGAGGGACAUCUUCUGCUUUUGAUUCUAUAACUUUUCCGUACAUUUUGAAGUUUCUAACUAUAGGCACAUAUUUUUAUUAUGUUUUUUAAUAAGUUUAUUUAUUUAUUAUUUUGUCUUUUGAGGGUCGCACUCGCAGUCUAUGGAAUUUCCCAGGCCAGGGGUUGAAUUGGAGCUGUAGCUGCCGGUCUACGCCACAGCCACGCCAGAUCUGAGCCACAUCUGUGACCUACACCACAGCUCAUGGCAACGCCGGAUCCUUAACCCACUGUGCAAGGCCAGGGAUCAAACCUGGGUCUUCAUGAAUACUAGUCAGGCUUGUUACCCCUGAGCCAUGAUGGGAACUCUCUAUUAUUUGUUUUCUUAUUUAAAUAUCAGCAGGGCUUUUCUGAUCAAUAAGCUGAGAAUCCAUUUUUAUCUUCUUCAUUAGAUUUUAUUUAAAAAAAACCUGUUAAAGUGAAUAAAUGAUUAACUGCCUGAAAUAUUUAACUUGCCAUGCCAAGCCAAUUAAAUAUAAUGUUACACUUGAAAAGACAAAGGUCAUUUAAAGAGUGCAAGAAUUCCUCAACCCACACCAAACUGCUACCAGCCUGCUAGUGCCCACAAAGUUUGCCCGGACAAUAACCCUUUUAUUCAACAGAUAUCUGAGUGCCUACUGUGUACCAGGCAUUGUUCUGAGUACCAGUAGAUAAAACAAAGCUCACAGGGAGUCACAGACUAGAUUCAAGUUGGAGGAAACACAAUUAGUAAGUAGACAUUAUAUACAAACAUGUAACAAGUGCUGCAUUGAAAAAUUAAAGAAGGGCUGGGUGGCGAGUGACCGGUGGAGAUGGAGGGUGUGCACAGAACACAUGCCACAGUCGCAUCACUGCAGAGAAAGGUCAGGAGGCCUGAGGAGGCAGAGACUUCAGCAGUGACCUGGAUGGAGGCAAGGAAGGGAUGAGCCACACCAAGAGCUGAAGGACGGACCAGGAAAGGCCCUGAAAUGGGAGAGCUGGAAACCAUUAUCGGUCUUAAGGAACAGGAUCCUGGGACGCGUUGUGUGCAGUCUGCUCUGAGACGCUGACCAGCAGGAGCGCACUCUGACAGGUAAGGGCAUCUCGGCGCUACCUAAAACAGCUAACAAGCCCUAGCUCACCGUCUCAUCAUACUUGGGAACACACUUCUCUACCAGCCUCACUUGUGCAAACAAAAGGCUGGCUGUAAGUUAUCUCUGAGUUCUUUGAUUCAUUCUCUUUCCCCUUCUCUUAGAUUUUCAAUUCUAACUCUAUGACUUCUGACUGAAAUAAUGAAUUGUAACCAGUGACUUUCAUGUCACUGACUGAGCACUAAGUUACUCUUCCUCCUUCAAACAAGAUUCUGGGGGUGGGUUGAUCCAGAACGGUGGCUCUCAACCAGAGGCAAUCCAAACCUGGCCAGUGACGAUCCCCCCUUCUAGGGGACAUGUGAUGUGGCAGCAGGGUAGGAGGAGGGAAAGCUGCUUGUCAUGACUGCAAACAGGGUGCUGCUGGCAUGUGGUGGUCCAGGCCAGGGAAGCUGAUAAACACCCCACAAGGCACAACAAUCCCAAUGUCAGCAGUGCCACGAGAUGAGACCCUCAGCCUUGAGAAACUGGAAAAGAUGAAGAGAGGAGAAAAUGAGCAGAGGGCACUGCCUGCUUAUGUCCAUGUGCUUCUUUUCCACCUCAGAAACAACACAGCAUCUUUUGUCGUCUUUGAUGCUGCCUCUCCCGUAUUGAUUACGCUUUAUUAUUCCUGAAGACUCGGGUGUGUGACGUAAGUAACCCUAUGUCGGACCCAAGCCCAGUAGGAUAAACGAAAACGGGAGGGCAAAUUGGAACAUGUACCGUAACAACGAGAGCAUUCUUUCUAUGACUUGAAAAAGUCUUCAGAUCCUUGGUUUAAUUUAAUCAGCAAUACGUUCAUCUGCAUAUGGCAUUUAGCAGCAAAGUAAACUUUUUUUCCUGAGUCAUUUGUUUCCAAAUCAGUGGGAACAAAGGAUAUCCCAGUUCCAUUCAAGCAGCUUCAAUGAUUCUCAAACAAACGUGGGAGUCAUAGCUGAGCCAUUUAAAAUAUACAGUGAUGAGAAAGCAUACUUGGUAAUCUUGUCAACAUUCCUUUAAGGAGAAUAUCCAAGUGUCCUUUUACUAUAAUAACGCUUUGUACUUUGAAAUGUUCAGAUGUCAAUAAAAUAGAAUUGAACACAACAGCCUAGAAGAAUGCCGUUUCCAAGUUUUCUAGUAAUGGUGCUGUGAAAACAGUAUGUAUUUUUCAGUUUAACACUCCGAAAAUCAAAUUUCCUCACCCCAAGAUUGGCUCCAUUUACACAAAAGCACUUUGGACCCAUAUUUAACCAACCAUCAAAAGUGAUUCAAAAGAAGGCUAAUUGAACACUGAGGUUUUUGAAGCUCUCAAAUGAUGACCCAGGUUUUUUCUUGAAAACACUCACAGCGGCAGCUUGGCAGGAAGCAGGAAUGAAACCUGCCCUCCAAACUGGAAGAAAAACUUCCAAUAACAAACUGCGAGGUUUGAGAUCACUGCAUGUUAUAUUAUUCAUUAUUCAAAUGGCCUCUAGCCCUAUUACACAGCCUUUUCUCUGGCGUCUGAGCUGCCCCAAGAAAUGUACUUUAGUAAGACCGAGCCCCCCUUUCAGAGGAAAGGAGAACCUCCUUAUCUCCGCUUUCUGCCUCCCUGUCUCUGCGUUCUAUCUGUUCUAUCUCUGUUCCAUCUGCGUGUUUUGCAAUCUCCUCAGUGUUCCAAAGGCCAAUGAAAUCUCUCUCCCACAGGGGUACUCAGCCAAGUACAUUCCCUGCUCGACUGUAUUUUUCUGCUUCUUAGCCCUUCCCCUCACUGAUUUCAAAUUUCUCUUUCAUAGGCCAGCGAUGGCAGACCUCAACCAAAUAAAAGUUAUGCAAAGGCAAGCUGGAAAAUCUGCACAGGGGAGAUUUCACCAAGAGGAGAGGGGCCUGAUAUUUUCCGUCUAAAUCCUUAGGCCUCACUCCAGCCUACAAAGACAAGUGGCAGGAAACUUAACAGCGAUAAUCAAAUGAGCUCAGCCAGCCUCGGGAUGGUUCUUGUAAGAACUGUGUGUGUGGAGAAGGGAUGCAGGCUUUCUGCCCAGGAGAACCUAGAGAGAAAAAACUGCUCUUCCCAAAAUCCCUGAGGUCUGCUGCCAGGGGCUCAGUACAUGCCUGACCAAAAAGAGAAAACUGCCCACCUAACCGGUUCGGCUGUUUCCUGGCUACUACGGACAGAAGCAGACAGAACCUUAUCAUUUCAGUUAUGUCUAACUUGGACAUUAUUUUCAAGUAAAUAUUGGUAAUUUCAAGGCUCUUUCCUUGCCGUGUGACCUGGCGUGACGGACAAUGCUGUCUCCGAGGAAGCUGACUCCAUAGCAACAAGCCAGGGAAGCCUGCACCUUCCACCCAGGGGGCCUCCCACGAGCAUUUUGGAGACUCGGGACUUUGCAGUUAUCUUGUCAGGGGGUGGCUGAGGGAAGAAGCUUCUUCCUUUGCCCUCUGGGCCCCUCCCAGCGGUCUGGGUUUCUGUGGAUCACUCUGUGCUUCUCAAUGAAUCCAGCGCUGGGCAUUUUUCUCUUUUCAUUCAGGAAGUGGUGAGCUGAGCCCUGAGAUUCUUUCUGCUCCGAUGAUAUAAACAAAUUGUAGAGGAAGUCAAGUCAAAUUUUCCCUUGCUGGUUUUGUUCUCCCAACUAGCAAUUCAGAAAACAGAGCCAACUUUUUUUUUUUUUUUUGGAUGCCUUUUAAAGAUUGCUGUUAACUGGAAAGACAAGAAACCCUUGUAGUUUUUUUAAAAAAAAAAAAAUACUAAAUUUAUUUUUCAGAAAAGAAAUACCUUGAAGGUUAACGCUUUCUUUUCUUUUUUUGGUUUUUUUUUUUUUUUACUUUGCAGACCAGAGUGCUCCCUUGACAUGAGUUUCACCUAACUGUUGUUCUUUCCUUCAAGUGUCAACCAAAAGAGCAAUGAUGAGCUUGGCGUGGGCCAUGGCUGAACCCGACUGGAGACCUCUGCGGCCCUCACACACAGCCACGGGGAGCUCACAGCCAUGAUUCAGUACGGCGCACAGCAGACAGAGAGGAGACACUUACCUGUAUCAUCUACAGAUACCGCUUGAAAAAUCACACGUAAUUAGGCCCUUCUCACAGGGGAAGCUACUCGAAGCUCUAUCACCAGCUGGUAAGAUGGCAUCUCUGGGUUUCACUGGUGGUUCUGUGAACAUUUCCAGACCAGAGGCACCUGACAAUCCAGGUGACAUGUUUACCACGCCUCUCCUAGUCCUCUAAAAACAGCAGCUCCACGCUACCUAACUGAAGGAAAACGCAAUGGUGGGAGAUGUACUGACAUCUGCAGGGUGGCCCUGAGGUGGCUUCCCCCCCAGACUGUUCUGCUCCAUUAAUCCUGGUGCAAGAAAUAAGGUGUCGUGGUCACUAGGUGCCACCCCUGCUUGUCCUCCAUUGGCCCUUGCUGUACACAGGUGGGUAGUCAACCUUCGAAACAGCCCAAUUGUCUAGUGAAGCACGUAAGAGUUCAAAUACCAGCUCAAGCUACUUCCUGCACCUCCCUGCUCCCUUCUGCAGUGAGGAUAUGUUUUAACACGGCAGUACAGUUAUAUGGGUUAAAAAUAACAGACACAGCUCACCCCAAUGUGUGGCCUGUGUUAGGCUCUCAAUUAUAGGUAGUUAUGAUUAAAAUUCCUAACACUGAGUUCGCCUGGGUCAGGAAAAACUAGCAUGGGUAGAAUCUGAACUGGAUGGUGUCUGCAAAGUUAUUUCUAUGUCAGAACAUGUUUGUUCAAUCACGAUGGUCCCCGCCCUCCUUAUCUACGAAUAUAUAUAUAUACUGUAGAUAUUUAUAGACUAAUAGGUAUAUAAAAUCAGUUAUGCAAGUUGUAAUUGACUGUGCAAUUACUGAGUAAACAGUAGAUGAAAGGAAAAUGUGAGGAUGUGAGAGCUGGCUUUAAUUCAUGUUUUAUCUUAUAUUCAUUAAACUGUUUAUUUACUUGUCUACACUCUCCUCCCUGUUGAUUAUUUUCCAGGCAUACAUUUCCCUUGAGCAACGUCAGAUGAGAAAGUGAUUUCAUUUCCAUCACAGGGGAGAAGACAAACAGAAGACCCAGAGGCAGCGACUUGCUUGGAGGCCUCCAAGGCUGUCAGGAAGCAGGAUGCAAGCAGAGCCUUGAAACAUGUUUGCACCACGGGUCUGGCUCUUUUUGCACUGGCCAUGAGAAGCGGCUGCCUAUUUAUCCAAAAAGGAUGAAAGACACCUGGAGCAGACCUGGAUGCAACCCACAUCUUGAAGUCCUGACGAGCCUGGAUCACCUGAAAACCAGCCAACUUGCAGAUGCUGUUGUGAGAAAAUUGAGGAAUGAAAAGGAUACGUGACUUACCCAACUGCCGACCUGCCUCUGCCUUGGAAGUGCGCUUACGGCCUAUUUCCCCAGGACAGCUAUCCUUUCCUUCCUUUGGACCUGUUCUCAGGCCUUCAGACUUGGGUCCUGGACUGGAACUAACUGGGCUUUCCUGGACCUCCAGUUUGCAGAGGGACUUAACCUCUGAAACCAAAUUGUUUGCAUACACAGUUACUUUUAAAAAUAUACACAGGAGACGGGAUUGAGACAGUGGAGUAGAAGGAGUAAAGCUCGCCUUCUCUCAUGAAAACAACAAAAUUACAACCAACGGCUGAACAACCUUCAACAAAACAGACUGGAAACUAUCAAAAAAGAUAUCCUACUCCAAAAGACAAAUAAGAGGCCACAUUGAGAUGGUAAAAGGGGUGAUUAUGUGAUAUAAGCAACUCCAUACCCACUGGGGGGAUAGCCCACAGACUGGAAAGUUAACUGUAUCACAGGGGCUCACCCACGGGAGUAAGGGUUCUGCGCCCCAUGUCAGGUUCCCAUGCUUGGGGAUCUGGCAUUGGGAGAGGGAGCCCCGGGAGCAUUUGGCAUUGAAGGCCAGUGGGGCUUACACACAGGAGCUUCACAGAACUGGGGGAAAUGGAGACUCCACUCUUGAAAGGCGCACACAGGCUUUUGUGUGUUUGGGUCCAAGGACAAAGCAGAGACUCCAUAGGAAUCUAGGUCAGACUUGCCUGUGGUUCUUGGAGGAUCUCCUGGGAAAACAGUGGGUGACUGUGGCUCGUUGUUGGGCAAGGAUACUGGAGGCAAAUGUCUCAGAAAUAAUCAUCAGCAUGAAUUCCUCUAGAGGUGGCUGUUUUGCAAAAAUUUAGCACCAGGCCAGAGAACAAACCCAGUGGGAACACAGCCCCACCCAUCAGCAAACAGGCUACCUAAAGGCCCGCCCCCACCCAGGCACAUAGACUCCUCUAAUCACACCCACAGACAAAGCCCCACCCACCAGAAGGACAAGACUCAGCUCCACCCACUAGGGGGCAGGCACCAGUCCCUCCCAUCAGGAAGUAGGCAGCAUGCCCCCAUACCAACUUCAGCCACCCUCAAGGGGGGCAGACAUCAGAAGCAAGAGACUACAACCCUAUUACCACACUAAAAAUCUAUACAAAAUGAAAAAGGCAUAGAAUUAGGACUCAGAUAAAGGAACAAGGAAAAAAAAAAAAAAGACAGCUAAAUGAUCUG
Molecule: non-coding RNA, 12898 nt
Organism: Sus scrofa (pig)
Lineage: Eukaryota; Metazoa; Chordata; Mammalia; Artiodactyla; Suidae
Source: RefSeq, a predicted model, not a curated record